UGCAACUCUUGAGAUCAUGCUUGAGUUAGUUUCUUGGAAGACUGUCACUGAUGUUACCAAGGACAAGAAGGUUUUGAGGAAGACCCUGAAGGAAGGGGAAGGAUAUGAACGACCAAAUGAUGGAACAGUUGUUCAAGUCAAACUGAUUGGGAAGCUACAUGAUGGGACCGUUUUUGUGAAGAAAGGUCAUGAUGAGGAGCCACCAUUUGAGUUCAAGAUAGAUGAAGAACAAGUUAUUGAUGGACUUGAUAAAGCUGUGAAGAACAUGAAGAAAGGGGAAGUUGCAUUAAUAACAAUUCAGCCAGAAUAUGCAUUUGGUUCAUUUGAAUCACAGCAAGAAUUGGCUACUAUUCCUGCUAAUUCAACUGUAUACUAUGAAGUUGAGAUGAUCACCAAGGAAAAAGAAUCAUGGGAGAUGAACACACAAGAAAAGAUUGAAGCAGCAGGGAAGAAGAAGGAAGAGGGGAACGUACUAUUCAAAGCUGGCAAGUAUGAAAGAGCCUCAAGGAGAUACGAGAAGGCUGUGAACUUCAUUGAGUAUGACUCCUCUUUCAGUGAAGAAGAGAAGCAGCAGACUAGAGCACUUAAAAUUACUUGCAAACUUAACAAUGCAGCGUGCAAGCUAAAGCUCAAAGAUUACAAGCAGGCCGAGAAGCUGUGCACCAAGGUGUUGGAACUUGACAGUAGGAAUGUGAAAGCCUUGUAUAGGAGGGCACAGGCAUAUAUACAACUUGUUGAUUUGGACUUGGCGGAGAUAGACAUCAAGAAAGCGCUUGAAAUUGAUCCUGACAAUCGGGAUGUGAAGUUGGAAUACAAAAUUUUGAAGGAAAAAGUGAGAGAAUACAACAAGAAGGAUGCGCAAUUUUAUAGCAACAUAUUUGCAAAGAUGAACAAGAAUGCAUCAGCUAAGCAGGACCCUAUGCCAAUGGCCAUAGAUAGCAAGGCAUAAUAGCAAGUUAGAUUCACAGCUCUCUCUCUCUCUCUCUCUCUCU
RNAcentral lists this unclassified non-coding RNA (992 nucleotides) under Hevea brasiliensis (rubber tree). The record is from RNAcentral. Lineage: Eukaryota; Viridiplantae; Streptophyta; Magnoliopsida; Malpighiales; Euphorbiaceae.